RNAcentral lists this ribosomal RNA (772 nucleotides) under uncultured Thermoplasmatales archaeon. RNAcentral describes it as "bacterial SSU rRNA". It matches the Rfam family "Archaeal small subunit ribosomal RNA", at positions 147 to 921 of the family's 1478-position model. Lineage: Archaea; Methanobacteriati; Thermoplasmatota; Thermoplasmata; Thermoplasmatales. The record is from RNAcentral.
UAAUACCCCAUAGAUAUUCAAUGCUGGAAGGCUUGGAUAUCGAAAGCGCAAGCGCCAGAGGGUGAGUCUGCGGCCUAUCAGGUAGUAGGUGGUGUAACGGACCACCUAGCCUAAGACGGGUACGGGCCUUGAGAGAGGGAGCCCGGAGAUGGGUUCUGAGACACGAACCCAGGCCCUACGGGGCGCAGCAGGCGCGAAACCUUCGCACUGCGCGAAAGCGCGACGAGGGGAGCCCGAGUGCCUCUCCAUUUCGGGGAGGCUUUUCACAAGCCUAAAAAGCUUGUGGAAUAAGGGCUGGGCAAGACGGGUGCCAGCCGCCGCGGUAAUACCCGCAGCUCGAGUGGUGGUCGCUUUUAUUGAGCCUAAAACGUUCGUAGUCGGCCUUGUAAACCCCUGGGUAAAUCGGACCGCUUAACGGUUCGAAUUCCGGGGAGACUGCAAGGCUAGGGACCGGGCGAGGUCAGAGGCACUUUCGGGGUAGGAGUGAAAUCCUGUAAUCCCGAAGGGACCACCUGUGGCGAAAGCGUCUGACUUGAACGGCUCCGACGAUGAGGAACGAAGGCUAGGGGAGCAAACCGGAUUAGAUACCCGGGUAGUCCUAGCUGUAAACUCUGCCCGCUUGGUGUGGCCUGUCCUUCGGGGGCAGGCUGUGCCGGAGCGAAGGUGUUAAGCGGGCUGCUUGGGGAGUACGGCCGCAAGGUUGAAACUUAAAGGAAUUGGCGGGGGAGCACCGCAACGGGAGGAUGCGUGCGGUUUAAUGGAUCAACGCCGG